CCUACGGGUGGCAGCAGUGAGGAAUAUUGGUCAAUGGGCGCGAGCCUGAACCAGCCAAGUAGCGUGAAGGAUGACUGCCCUACGGGUUGUAAACUUCUUUUAUAAAGGAAUAAAGUGAGGCACGCGUGCCUGUUUGUAUGUACUUUAUGAAUAAGGAUCGGCUAACUCCGUGCCAGCAGCCGCGGUAAUACGGAGGAUUCGAGCGUUAUCCGGAUUUAUUGGGUUUAAAGGGAGCGUAGACGGGUUGUUAAGUCAGUUGUGAAAGUUUGCGGCUCAACCGUGAAAUUGCAAUUGAUACUGGCAGUCUAGAGUACAGUUGAGGUAGGCGGAAUGCGUGGUGUAGCGGUGAAAUGCUUAGAUAUCACAAAGAACUCCGAUUGCGAAGGCAGCUUACUAAGCUGCCACUGACAUUGAUGCUCGAAAGUGUGGGUAGCAAACAGGAUUAGAUACCCUAGUAGUC
RNAcentral lists this ribosomal RNA (460 nucleotides) under uncultured bacterium. RNAcentral's name for it is "partial 16S ribosomal RNA". It matches the Rfam family "Bacterial small subunit ribosomal RNA", at positions 338 to 795 of the family's 1533-position model. The record is from RNAcentral.